RNAcentral lists this ribosomal RNA (253 nucleotides) under uncultured bacterium. RNAcentral describes it as "partial 16S ribosomal RNA". It matches the Rfam family "Bacterial small subunit ribosomal RNA", at positions 524 to 776 of the family's 1533-position model. The record is from RNAcentral.
GACGUAGGGGGCCAGCGUUGUUCGGAAUUACUGGGCGUAAAGGGCGCGUAGGCGGCCAUCUAAGUCAGACGUGAAAUCCCUCGGCUCAACCGAGGAACUGCGUCUGAUACUGGAAGGCUUGAAUCCGGGAGAGGGAUGUGGAAUUCCAGGUGUAGCGGUGAAAUGCGUAGAUAUCUGGAGGAACACCGGUGGCGAAGGCGGCAUCCUGGACCGGUAUUGACGCUGAGGCGCGAAAGCUAGGGGAGCAAACGGG